RNAcentral lists this ribosomal RNA (420 nucleotides) under Potamonautes calcaratus. Its description in RNAcentral is "partial 16S ribosomal RNA". The stretch from base 297 to 420 matches the Rfam family "Bacterial large subunit ribosomal RNA", at positions 2473 to 2597 of the family's 2925-position model. Lineage: Eukaryota; Metazoa; Arthropoda; Malacostraca; Decapoda; Potamonautidae. RNAcentral also lists the same sequence under 1 other name. The record is from RNAcentral.
UUUAAUUGAGAUCUUGUAUGAAUGAUUGGACAAGAAAAAUUCUGUCUUUAUAUUAAAAUUUGAAUUUAACUUUUAAGUGAAAAGGCUUAAAUAAACUAGAGGGACGAUAAGACCCUAUAAAACUUUACAUUAUAAAUUAAGGUUUAUUAAUUUAAAGAAUAAUAAUUUAUUUUAAUUUAAUUGUUGUGUUGGGGAGAUGGAGGCUAUAAUUUGUAUUAACUGCUUAAGAAUAAAACAAAGAUAAAUGAAAGUUUUAAAGAUCCUUUAUAAAGAUCAAAAGAUUAAGUUACUUUAGGGAUAACAGCGUUAUUUUUUUUGAGAGUUCAUAUCGAAAAAAGAGAUUGCGACCUCGAUGUUGAAUUAAAAUAUCUUUAUAAUGCAGGUGUUAUAAAAGAAGGUCUGUUCGACCUUUAAUUUUUU